AACGUAGGUUCCGAGCGUUAUCCGGAUUUACUGGGCGUAAAGCGCGUUCAGGCGGUUUGGCAAGUCGGGCAUGAAAUCUCUCGGCUCAACCGGGAGAGGUUGUCCGAUACUGCUGGACUUGAGGGCAGUAGAGGGUGGUGGAAUUCCGGGUGUAGUGGUGAAAUGCGUAGAUAUUAGGAAGAACACCAGUGGCGAAGGCGGCUCUCUGGGACGGUACUGACGCUGAGACGCGAAAGCGUGGGGAGCGAACAGG
Molecule: ribosomal RNA, 253 nt
Filed under: uncultured bacterium
Lineage: Bacteria
Description: partial 16S ribosomal RNA
Rfam family: Bacterial small subunit ribosomal RNA
Source: RNAcentral